CCUCCCACCCUUGUCUCUCUACACCUGUUGCUUUGGCGGGCCCACUGGGGCUCCCUGGUCGCCGGGGGACCACGCCCGCCGGAGGUUCACCGCCGGAGGUUCAAACUCUUAUUUUUUUCAGUAUCUCUGAGCCUAAAAGACAAAUAAUCAAAACUUUCAACAACGGAUCUCUUGGUUCUGGCAUCGAUGAAGAACGCAGCGAAAUGCGAUAAGUAAUGUGAAUUGCAGAAUUCAGUGAAUCAUCGAAUCUUUGAACGCACAUUGCGCCCGCCGGUAUUCCGGCGGGCAUGCCUGUUCGAGCGUCAUUUCAACCCUCAAGCCUCGGCUUGGUGUUGGGGCGCCCGGGCCCUCCGCGGCCCGGGGCCCCCAAGUUCAUCGGCGGGCUCGUCGGUACACUGAGCGCAGUAAAACGCGGUAAAACGCGAACCUCGUUCGGAUCCGGGAGGGACCUGCGGGGGUUGGUCACCACCACAUUUUCUAUUAUGGUUGACCUCGGAUCAGGUAGGAGUUACCCGCUGAACUUAAGCAUA
This 530-nucleotide ribosomal RNA is filed under the name Pyricularia grisea. RNAcentral's name for it is "eukaryotic LSU rRNA". The stretch from base 152 to 305 matches the Rfam family "5.8S ribosomal RNA". The record is from RNAcentral. Lineage: Eukaryota; Fungi; Ascomycota; Sordariomycetes; Magnaporthales; Pyriculariaceae.